This 279-nucleotide ribosomal RNA is filed under the name uncultured bacterium. RNAcentral's name for it is "partial 16S ribosomal RNA". It matches the Rfam family "Bacterial small subunit ribosomal RNA", at positions 506 to 784 of the family's 1533-position model. The record is from RNAcentral.
UGCCAGCAGCCGCGGUAAUACGGAGGGGGUUAGCGUUGUUCGGAAUUACUGGGCGUAAAGCGCGCGUAGGCGGAUUGGAAAGUUGGGGGUGAAAUCCCGGGGCUCAACCCCGGAACUGCCUCCAAAACUAUCAGUCUAGAGUUCGAGAGAGGUGAGUGGAACUCCGAGUGUAGAGGUGAAAUUCGUAGAUAUUCGGAGGAACACCAGAGGCGAAGGCGGCUCACUGGACCGAUACUGACGCUGAGGAGCGAAAGCGUGGGGAGCAAACAGGAUUAGAUA